Molecule: ribosomal RNA, 413 nt
Filed under: uncultured Bacteroidota bacterium
Lineage: Bacteria; Pseudomonadati; Bacteroidota
Description: bacterial SSU rRNA
Rfam family: Bacterial small subunit ribosomal RNA
Source: RNAcentral
CUCCGUGCCAGCAGCCGCGGUAAUACGGAGGAUGCGAGCGUUAUCCGGAUUUAUUGGGUUUAAAGGGAGCGCAGACGGGAGAUUAAGUCAGUUGUGAAAGUUUGCGGCUCAACCGUAAAAUUGCAGUUGAUACUGGUUUCCUUGAGUGCAGUUGAGGCAGGCGGAAUUCGUGGUGUAGCGGUGAAAUGCUUAGAUAUCACGAAGAACCCCGAUUGCGAAGGCAGCUUGCUAAACUGUAACUGACGUUCAUGCUCGAAAGUGUGGGUAUCAAACAGGAUUAGAUACCCUGGUAGUCCACACGGUAAACGAUGGAUACUCGCUGUUGGCGAUAUACUGUCAGCGGCCAAGCGAAAGCAUUAAGUAUCCCACCUGGGGAGUACGCCGGCAACGGUGCAACUCAAAUGAAUUGACGG